This 392-nucleotide ribosomal RNA is filed under the name uncultured bacterium. RNAcentral's name for it is "bacterial SSU rRNA". It matches the Rfam family "Bacterial small subunit ribosomal RNA", at positions 362 to 771 of the family's 1533-position model. The record is from RNAcentral.
UAUUGGUCAAUGGGCGAGAGCCUGAACCAGCCAAGUAGCGUGAGGGAAGACGGUCUUCGGAUUGUAAACCUCUGUCUUCGGGGACGAAAGAUGACGGUACCCGAGGAGGAAGCCACGGCUAACUACGUGCCAGCAGCCGCGGUAAUACGUAGGUGGCGAGCGUUGUCCGGAAUUACUGGGUGUAAAGGGAGCGUAGGCGGGAAGACAAGUUGGACGUUAAAUUUAUCGGCUUAACCGGUAACCGCGUUCAAAACUGUUUUUCUUGAGUGAAGUAGAGGUUGGCGGAAUUCCUAGUGUAGCGGUGAAAUGCGUAGAUAUUAGGAGGAACACCAGUGGCGAAGGCGGCCAACUGGGCUUUAACUGACGCUGAGGCUCGAAAGCGUGGGGAGCAA